GAUGAACGCUGGCGGCGUGCCUAAUACAUGCAAGUCGAGCGAACGGACGAGAAGCUUGCUUUUCUGAUGUUAGCGGCGGACGGGUGAGUAACACGUGGAUAACCUACCUAUAAGACUGGGAUAACUUCGGGAAACCGGAGCUAAUACCGGAUAAUAUUUUGAACCGCAUGGUUCAAAAGUGAAAGACGGUCUUGCUGUCACUUAUAGAUGGAUCCGCGCUGCAUUAGCUAGUUGGUAAGGUAACGGCUUACCAAGGCAACGAUGCAUAGCCGACCUGAGAGGGGGACCGGCCACAAUGGAGCAGGGGCACGUUCCAGACCCCGGCGGGGGGCAGGAGUGGGGAAUUUUCCGCAAGGGGGGAAAGCCUGACGGAGCACCGCCGCGUGGUGGAGGAAGGUCUUGGGAUCGUAAAACUCUUUUAUUAGGGAAAAACAUAUGUGAAAGUACCUGUGCACAUCUUGACGGUACCUAAUCAGAAAGCCCCGGCUAACUACG
Molecule: ribosomal RNA, 495 nt
Filed under: uncultured bacterium
Lineage: Bacteria
Description: partial 16S ribosomal RNA
Rfam family: Bacterial small subunit ribosomal RNA
Source: RNAcentral